AGAGUUUGAUCCUGGCUCAGGACGAACGCUGGCGGCGUGCUUAACACAUGCAAGUCGAACGGACCUUAUUUGGAGGAAGCUUUCGGGUAGACACUGAAUAAGGUUAGUGGCGGACGGGUGAGUAACGCGUAGAUAAUCUACCUUAAAGACUGGGACAACAGUUGGAAACGACUGCUAAUACCGGAUAAGCUAAACGGAAGGCAUCUUCUGUUUAGGAAAGGAGGCCUCUUAACAAUGCUCCCACUUUUAGAUGAGUCUGCGUCUGAUUAGCUAGUUGGUGGGGUAACGGCUUACCAAGGCGACGAUCAGUAGUCGGCCUGAGAGGGUGACCGGCCACAUUGGGACUGAGACACGGCCCAAACUCCUACGGGAGGCAGCAGUGGGGAAUCUUCCGCAAUGGGCGAAAGCCUGACGGAGCAACGCCGCGUGAUCGAAUGAAGGCCUUCGGGUUGUAAAGAUCUGUUGACAGGGACGAAUAAGCCAUGCGAAUAGUUUGGUGUAUGACGGUACCUGUUUAGAAAGCUCCGGCUAACUACGUGCCAGCAGCCGCGGUAAUACGUAGGGAGCAAGCGUUGUCCGGAAUUACUGGGCGUAAAGGGCGCGUAGGUGGGUGCUUAAGUCAGGUGUGAAAACUCUGGGCUCAACCUGGAGACUGCACUUGAAACUGGGUAUCUUGAGGGCAGGAGAGGAAAGUGGAAUUCCUAGUGUAGCGGUGAAAUGCGUAGAUAUUAGGAGGAACACCAGUGGCGAAGGCGACUUUCUGGACUGUACCUGACGCUGAGGCGCGAAAGCGUGGGUAGCGAACGGGAUUAGAUACCCCGGUAGUCCACGCCGUAAACGAUGAAUACUAGGUGUAGGAGGUAUCGACUCCUUCUGUGCCGCAGCAAACGCAAUAAGUAUUCCGCCUGGGGACUACGGUCGCAAGACUAAAACUCAAAGGAAUUGACGGGGACCCGCACAAGCGGUGGAGCAUGUGGUUUAAUUCGACGCAACGCGAAGAACCUUACCAGGGCUUGACAUCCCUCGCUAUCUGUGGAAACACGGAGUUCCGUAGCUUGCUACGGACGAGGAGACAGGUGGUGCAUGGUUGUCGUCAGCUCGUGUCGUGAGAUGUUGGGUUAAGUCCCGCAACGAGCGCAACCCCUACGUCCAGUUGCCAGCACGUUAAGGUGGGAACUCUGGAGGAACUGCCGGUGACAAACCGGAGGAAGGUGGGGAUGACGUCAAAUCAUCAUGCCCUUUAUGUUCUGGGCUACACACGUGCUACAAUGGCCGGUACAGAGGGCGGCGAAGCCGCGAGGUGGAGCGAAUCCCAAAAAGCCGGUCUAAGUUCGGAUUGCAGGCUGCAACCCGCCUGCAUGAAGUCGGAAUCGCUAGUAAUCGCGAGUCAGCAUAUCGCGGUGAAUACGUUCCCGGGUCUUGUACACACCGCCCGUCACACCAUGGGAGUUGGCAACACCCGAAGUCGAUGAGCUAACCGCAAGGAGGCAGUCGCCUAAGGUGGGGUUGAUAACUGGGGUGAAGUCGUAACAAGGUAACC
RNAcentral lists this ribosomal RNA (1540 nucleotides) under uncultured bacterium. RNAcentral describes it as "16S ribosomal RNA". It matches the Rfam family "Bacterial small subunit ribosomal RNA". The record is from RNAcentral.